This 898-nucleotide ribosomal RNA is filed under the name Fusarium decemcellulare. Its description in RNAcentral is "LSU rRNA". It matches the Rfam family "Eukaryotic large subunit ribosomal RNA", at positions 36 to 962 of the family's 3401-position model. The record is from RNAcentral. Lineage: Eukaryota; Fungi; Ascomycota; Sordariomycetes; Hypocreales; Nectriaceae.
AAGCAUAUCAAUAAGCGGAGGAAAAGAAACCAACAGGGAUUGCCCUAGUAACGGCGAGUGAAGCGGCAACAGCUCAAAUUUGAAAUCUGGCUCUCGGGCCCGAGUUGUAAUUUGUAGAGGAUGCUUUUGGUGCGGUGCCUUCCGAGUUCCCUGGAACGGGACGCCAUAGAGGGUGAGAGCCCCGUCUGGUUGGAUGCCAAUCCUCUGUAAAGCUCCUUCGACGAGUCGAGUAGUUUGGGAAUGCUGCUCUAAAUGGGAGGUAUAUGUCUUCUAAAGCUAAAUACCGGCCAGAGACCGAUAGCGCACAAGUAGAGUGAUCGAAAGAUGAAAAGCACUUUGAAAAGAGAGUUAAAAAGUACGUGAAAUUGUUGAAAGGGAAGCGUUUAUGACCAGACUUGGGCUUGGUUAAUCAUCCAGGGUUCUCCCUGGUGCACUUUUCCAGUCCAGGCCAGCAUCAGUUUGCUUCGGGGGAUAAAGGCUUCGGGAAUGUGGCUCCUCUCGGGGAGUGUUAUAGCCCGUUGCGUAAUACCCUGAGGCGGACUGAGGUACGCGCUUCUGCAAGGAUGCUGGCGUAAUGGUCAUCAACGACCCGUCUUGAAACACGGACCAAGGAGUCGUCUUCGUAUGCGAGUGUUCGGGUGUCAAACCCCUACGCGUAAUGAAAGUGAACGCAGGUGAGAGCUUUCGGCGCAUCAUCGACCGAUCCUGAUGUUCUCGGAUGGAUUUGAGUAAGAGCAUACGGGGCCGGACCCGAAAGAAGGUGAACUAUGCUUGUAUAGGGUGAAGCCAGAGGAAACUCUGGUGGAGGCUCGCAGCGGUUCUGACGUGCAAAUCGAUCGUCAAAUAUGAGCAUGGGGGCGAAAGACUAAUAUAACCUUCUAGUAGCUGGGUUUCCGCC